UGGGGAAUAUUGGACAAUGGGGGCAACCCUGAUCCAGCGAUGCCGCGUGAGUGAAGAAGGCCUUCGGGUUGUAAAACUCUUUCACCUGUGAAGAUAAUGACGGUAGCAGGAGAAGAAGCACCGGCAAACUCUGUGCCAGCAGCCGCGGUAAUACAGAGGGUGCUAGCGUUNUUCNGAAUGACUGGGCGUAAAGGGCGCGUAGGCGGUUCAUCAAGUCAGAUGUGAAAGCCCCGGGCUUAACCUGGGAACGGCAUUUGAUACUGGUUAACUGGAGUACGAGAGAGGAAAGUGGAAUUCCUAGUGUAGAGGUGAAAUUCGUAGAUAUUAGGAGGAACACCAGAGGCGAAGGCGGCUUUCUGGCUCGUAACUGACGCUGAGGCGCGAAAGCGUGGGGAGCAAACAGGAUUAGAUACCCUGGUAGUCCACGCCGUAAACGAUGAGUGCUAGACGUUGGUGGUUUACCAUCAGUGUCGCAGCUAACGCAUUAAGCACUCCGCCUGGGGAGUACGGUCGCAAGAUU
This 520-nucleotide ribosomal RNA is filed under the name uncultured bacterium. RNAcentral describes it as "bacterial SSU rRNA". It matches the Rfam family "Bacterial small subunit ribosomal RNA", at positions 355 to 895 of the family's 1533-position model. The record is from RNAcentral.